RNAcentral lists this ribosomal RNA (440 nucleotides) under uncultured bacterium. Its description in RNAcentral is "partial 16S ribosomal RNA". It matches the Rfam family "Bacterial small subunit ribosomal RNA", at positions 338 to 795 of the family's 1533-position model. The record is from RNAcentral.
CCUACGGGAGGCAGCAGUGGGGAAUCUUACACAAUGGGGGAAACCCUGAUGCAGCGACGCCGCGUGAGUGAUGAAGUACUUCGGUACGUAAAGCUCUAUCAGCAGGGAAGAACAUGCCGGUAACUGACUAUGCAGCUCUUGCUAACUACGUCCCAGCAGCCGCGGUAAUACGUCGGGGGCAAGCGUUAUCCGGAUUUACUGGGUGUAAAGGGAGCGUAGACGGUUCUGCAUGUCAGAUGUGAAAGCCCAGGGCUCAACCCCGGGACGGCAUUUGGAACUGGAAGGCUAGAGUGUCGGAGAGGCAGGCGGAAUUCCUAGUGUAGCGGUGAAAUGCGUAGAUAUUAGGAGGAACACCAGUGGCGAAGGCGACCUUCUGGACGGUGACUGACGUUGAGGCGCGAAAGCGUGGGGAUCAAACAGGAUUAGAUACCCGAGUAGUC